Molecule: ribosomal RNA, 507 nt
Filed under: uncultured bacterium
Lineage: Bacteria
Description: bacterial SSU rRNA
Rfam family: Bacterial small subunit ribosomal RNA
Source: RNAcentral
AUUGAACGCUGGCGGCAUGCCUAACACAUGCAAGUCGAACGGUAACAGGCCCGCAAGGGUGCUGACGAGUGGCAGACGGGUGAGUAAUACGUAGGAAUCUGCCCUGUAGUGGGGGAUAGCCCGGCGAAAGCCGGAUUAAUACCGCAUACGCUCUACGGAGGAAAGCGGGGGAUCGCAAGACCUCGCGCUAUUGGAUGAGCCUACGUCUGAUUAGCUAGUUGGUAGGGUAACGGCCUACCAAGGCGACGAUCAGUAGCUGGUCUGAGAGGAUGAUCAGCCACACCGGAACUGAGACACGGUCCGGACUCCUACGGGAGGCAGCAGUGGGAAAUAUUGGACAAUGGGGGAAACCCUGAUCCAGCAAUGCCGCGUGUGUGAAGAAGGCCUGCGGGUUGUAAAGCACUUUUGUUGGGGAAGAAAAGCCGUCGGCGAAUAUCCGGNGGUCUUGACGGUACCCAAAGAAUAAGCACCGGCUAACUCCGUGCCAGCAGCCGCGGUAAUACGGGA